This 468-nucleotide ribosomal RNA is filed under the name uncultured bacterium. Its description in RNAcentral is "partial 16S ribosomal RNA". It matches the Rfam family "Bacterial small subunit ribosomal RNA", at positions 28 to 507 of the family's 1533-position model. The record is from RNAcentral.
GACGAACGCUGGCGGCGUGCUUAACACAUGCAAGUCGAACGGAAAGGCCCUGCUUUUGUGGGGUGCUCGAGUGGCGAACGGGUGAGUAACACGUGAGUAACCUGCCCUUGACUUUGGGAUAACUUCAGGAAACUGGGGCUAAUACCGGAUAGGAGCUCCUGCUGCAUGGUGGGGGUUGGAAAGUUUCGGCGGUUGGGGAUGGACUCGCGGCUUAUCAGCUUGUUGGUGGGGUAGUGGCUUACCAAGGCUUUGACGGGUAGCCGGCCUGAGAGGGUGACCGGCCACAUUGGGACUGAGGUACGGCCCAGGCGCCUACGGGAGGCAGCAGUGGGGAAUAUUGCACAAUGGGCGGAAGCCUGAUGCAGCAACGCCGCGUGCGGGAUGACGGCCUUCGGGUUGUAAACCGCUUUCGCCUGUGACGAAGCGUGAGUGACGGUAAUGGGUAAAGAAGCACCGGCUAACUACGUG